AACAAUCAGUCGUUUUAGGGGAUAAAAAUACAAGAAGAUCACUUCACCAUCUCAUAAAUGUCCAACUCCCCCGCCCCCAAAACGCUCAAGCAGCUCCAAAGUUCUUCUCAUAGCUCAUACCUUUGCCUACUCAACUCCAAUUUCUUUCAAUCCACUUGCUCUUCUCCAAAUUCCAACCACCCCCAUUUAUCAACCCCACUCCUUUAGACUUCGGAACCCCAUUUAAGCCGCCACUUUCUGGAUUGAAAAUAAAACAAACGCAUUAGCAAUGUGGACGAUGGAAGUUUAAAUGAUGGUGAGAAUAGAGAAAAGAUCUAAGUCAAUUUCAUUUCAUCUUGAUCAUUUUUAUCAAAAUUCAACUCCUUAUACCUUAAGUGUGCAUUUGUGAGCAGGGGCGGAUGCAGUGCAGGACCACUGGGGGCUCAAGCCCCCACUGAAAAAAAUAAUAUUUUUUUGUUUAAAAGAAAAUUUAAAAUUUAA
RNAcentral lists this long non-coding RNA (480 nucleotides) under Citrus x clementina. RNAcentral describes it as "Citrus clementina (C. clementina) long non-coding RNA (CCLE_LNC000716)". Lineage: Eukaryota; Viridiplantae; Streptophyta; Magnoliopsida; Sapindales; Rutaceae. The record is from RNAcentral.